UCCGGGGCCUCUGACCUGAUCUCUCGGGAGGAGAGAAACGUGAACAGAGCGCGGGCCCAGCUGCGGGGGCGGUGUGUUGGCGCCAGAAACUCUGGAAUUGAGCAGUUUUAACUGUGCCAUACACAGCUUCCAGGCUGGACGGGGCUCCAGGCGACGAGGCCGCGCCGUCCACACGUGGCACCACGCCCGGUGGGCGUCUCUCCUUGCUGCCCUGUCAGAAGACGCGGAGCAGGAAAAAGAACCCGUUACUAUUCUCGGUGCUCACACAGAGGGAGCCAAGGAAGGAGUGUGUGCAUCCCGGAGUUGACCGAGGGGCCUCGUGAGUCCUGAUGCGUGUGGCUUCUGACAGACACCAUCUCGGAGUCUGGGCGGUCCUCGGUUGGUUUCUGGGUAGUCCAUGCCUCUCCGUAUGAGGAUCAUGGGCUUUGUGAGGACACGAAAGAAGAUGCUGUGGGAGGAGCUUGCCAUGGAAACGUCUCUCGUCUACUCUGCGGUGUUUACCAUGGCCGGGAAAACAAACAGGAACGAUUUUGCUGACAAUGGAGGCAGGAAAGUGAGAGAACAAAAAAAGUGUCCUUAGUCUCCACUCAGGACAACGUUCCGACUGGGUGAGGCAGGUCUGAUCUGAGGAAAUCAUGUAGACUUCCCUUCCCUUCUCCAAAUUUCUGCUUACUAAAAUUCUACCAUUAGAGAUUUAUUCCUCUGAUUAAACUCUGCGUCCCUAGGACAGUUCUUAUUUUUCCAAAUGAAAAUACUAAUACUUUUAUAAAAAGGACACAUAAUUUAACAUGUGUGCCAACCUGAACCUGUGGGUAGUACUUGCCUGAAACAUUGUGUUGAGAAAGCCUCUGAGGCUUUAUAUGGCUGCCAAUCCAAAGAAUGUCUAUUGAUUAGUUAUAUCUGCCAUAAAUACAAGAAGGGAGGAGAGUAUUUACUUUCCCUGUCUUAGAGGAGAGGAGGUUAAGUGGCUUUUUUGGUCUCCUACCAUAACAGGAGAAUGCACGUACGUACAUGCUAAGUCCCUUCAGUUGUGUCCGACUCUUUGGGACCCCGAGGACUGUAGCCCACCAGGCUCCUCCUCU
This is a long non-coding RNA of Odocoileus virginianus texanus, 1082 nucleotides long. RefSeq lists it as uncharacterized. The record is from RefSeq and is a predicted model, not a curated record. NCBI's taxonomy places the organism in Eukaryota, Metazoa, Chordata, Mammalia, Artiodactyla, Cervidae.